ACGCUGGCGGCGUGCUUAACACAUGCAAGUCGAACGGUAAGGCCCUUCGGGGUACACGAGUGGCGAACGGGUGAGUAACACGUGGGUGAUCUGCCCUGCACUUCGGGAUAAGCCUGGGAAACUGGGUCUAAUACCGGAUAGGACCAUGGACUUCACGGUUUGCGGUGGAAAGCUUUUGCGGUGUGGGAUGGGCCCGCGGCCUAUCAGCUUGUUGGUGGGGUAAUGGCCUACCAAGGCGACGACGGGUAGCCGGCCUGAGAGGGUGUCCGGCCACACUGGGACUGAGAUACGGCCCAGACUCCUACGGGAGGCAGCAGUGGGGAAUAUUGCACAAUGGGCGCAAGCCUGAUGCAGCGACGCCGCGUGAGGGAUGACGGCCUUCGGGUUGUAAACCUCUUUCAAUAGGGACGAAGCGCAAGUGACGGUACCUAUAGAAGAAGCACCGGCCAACUACGUG
Molecule: ribosomal RNA, 457 nt
Filed under: uncultured bacterium
Lineage: Bacteria
Description: bacterial SSU rRNA
Rfam family: Bacterial small subunit ribosomal RNA
Source: RNAcentral